RNAcentral lists this ribosomal RNA (182 nucleotides) under Apiospora sacchari. RNAcentral's name for it is "Arthrinium sacchari partial 18S ribosomal RNA". It matches the Rfam family "Eukaryotic small subunit ribosomal RNA", at positions 1652 to 1831 of the family's 1831-position model. Lineage: Eukaryota; Fungi; Ascomycota; Sordariomycetes; Amphisphaeriales; Apiosporaceae. The record is from RNAcentral.
CCUGCCCUUUGUACACACCGCCCGUCGCUACUACCGAUUGAAUGGCUCAGUGAGGCUUUGGGACUGCCUAGAAGAGGUCGGCAACGACCACUUCCGGGCGGAAACUUAUCCAAACUCGGUCAUUUAGAGGAAGUAAAAGUCGUAACAAGGUCUCCGUUGGUGAACCAGCGGAGGGAUCAUUA